RNAcentral lists this small RNA (987 nucleotides) under Pan troglodytes (chimpanzee). RNAcentral's name for it is "retained intron". The record is from RNAcentral. Lineage: Eukaryota; Metazoa; Chordata; Mammalia; Primates; Hominidae.
AGUAAGUCGUGAGGAAACAGACAAGGCUGCAACCCAGCAGCAGUUGAGCACCUUGUCAAAGUGUGGGAAUGAGCGUGUGUGGGUCUCUGUGCCUCCAGCCUUUUCUGCACCAGCUGUUCCAAGCGGAGCAGAGGGGUCUGUCUUGCUUCUCCGUAACUUCAUCAACCUACAAAAAGCCUUGGCAUCCACGGGAGGAAGAAGUGUUCAGGCAGCAUGUGACUGGUUAUUCUCCCAUGUCGGUGACCCCUUCCUGGAUGACCCCCUGCCCCGGGAGUACGUCCUCUACCUCCGUCCCACCGGCCCCUUAGCACAGAAGCUUUCCGACUUUUGGCAGCAGUCGAAGCAGAUCUGCGGGAAGAACAAGGCACACAACAUCUUCCCCCACAUCACACUCUGCCAGUUCUUUAUGUGCGAGGACAGCAAGGUGGAUGCCCUGGGGGAAGCCCUGCAGACCACGGUCAGUCGCUGGAAAUGUAAGUUCUCGGCCCCGCUGCCCCUGGAGCUCUAUACGUCGUCCAACUUCAUCGGCCUCUUCGUAAAGGAAGACAGUGCGGAGGUCCUCAAGAAGUUUGCUGCUGACUUUGCUGCAGAGGCUGCAUCCAAAACCGAAGUGCAUGUGGAACCUCAUAAGAAGCAGCUACAUGUGACCCUGGCUUACCACUUCCAAGCCAGCCACCUACCCACCCUAGAGAAACUGGCCCAGAACAUUGACGUCAAGCUAGGGUGUGACUGGGUGGCUACCAUAUUUUCUCGGGAUAUCCGAUUUGCUAACCAUGAGACAUUACAGGUCAUCUACCCCUAUACCCCACAAAAUGACGAUGAGCUAGAGCUGGUCCCCGGGGACUUCAUCUUCAUGUCUCCAAUGGAGCAGACCAGCACCAGCGAGGGUUGGAUCUAUGGCACGUCCUUAACCACCGGCUGCUCUGGACUCCUGCCUGAGAAUUACAUUACCAAGGCUGAUGAAUGCAGCACCUGGAUAUUUCAUGG